GAUCCUGGCUUAGGAUGAACGCUAGCGACAGGCUUAACACAUGCAAGUCGAGGGGCAGCACGGGAGUAGCAAUACUUGGUGGCGACCGGCGCACGGGUGAGUAACGCGUAUGCAACCUACCUAUCAGAGGGGAAUAACCCGGCGAAAGUCGGACUAAUACCGCAUAAAACAGGGGCACCGCAUGGUGAUAUUUGUUAAAGAAAUUCGCUGAUAGAUGGGCAUGCGUUCCAUUAGGUAGUUGGUGAGGUAACGGCUCACCAAGCCGACGAUGGAUAGGGGAACUGAGAGGUUGGUCCCCCACACUGGUACUGAGACACGGACCAGACUCCUACGGGAGGCAGCAGUGAGGAAUAUUGGUCAAUGGGCGGGAGCCUGAACCAGCCAAGUCGCGUGAAGGAAAAGAAGGAUCUAUGGUUCGUAAACUUCUUUUGCGAGGGGAAUAAAGUGCAGGACGUGUCCUGUUUUGUAUGUACCCUGAGAAUAAGGAUCGGCUAACUCCGUGCCAGCAGCAGC
Molecule: ribosomal RNA, 513 nt
Filed under: uncultured bacterium
Lineage: Bacteria
Description: bacterial SSU rRNA
Rfam family: Bacterial small subunit ribosomal RNA
Source: RNAcentral